RNAcentral lists this ribosomal RNA (253 nucleotides) under uncultured bacterium. Its description in RNAcentral is "partial 16S ribosomal RNA". It matches the Rfam family "Bacterial small subunit ribosomal RNA", at positions 524 to 776 of the family's 1533-position model. The record is from RNAcentral.
UACGUAGGGUGCAAGCGUUGUCCGGAAUUAUUGGGCGUAAAGAGCUCGUAGGCGGUCAGUCGCGUCUGCUGUGAAAACUCGGGGCUUAACCCCGAGCCUGCAGUGGAUACGGGCAGACUAGAGGUAGGUAGGGGAGAAUGGAAUUCCCGGUGUAGCGGUGAAAUGCGCAGAUAUCGGGAGGAACACCGGUGGCGAAGGCGGUUCUCUGGGCCUUACCUGACGCUGAGGAGCGAAAGCGUGGGGAGCGAACAGG